GGCAGUUCUGAAGAUACUGAGUUAUUUCAAUUAUUGUUCACAGUCAGAAAUCAAACUCCUUGUUCUACUCUUUCCCCUUCUCACUACUACACAUGACUAAUCUUUA
Molecule: non-coding RNA, 106 nt
Filed under: Otolemur garnettii (small-eared galago)
Lineage: Eukaryota; Metazoa; Chordata; Mammalia; Primates; Galagidae
Source: RNAcentral